GAUGAACGCUGGCGGCGUGCCUAAUGCAUGCAAGUCGAGCGACGCAUACGGAAGGGGUAACCCCAUCUGUAUGACGGAGCGGCGAACGGGUGAGUAACACGUGAGCAACCUGCCCCACAGAUCGGGAUAGCCCAGGGAAACCUGGAUUAAUACCGGAUACCCUCGGAGAUCGCAUGGUCCGUCGAGGAAAUGCCUUUGUGCUGUGGGAUGGGCUCGCGGCUUAUCAGCUAGUUGGUGGGGUAACGGCCUACCAAGGGCGUCGACGAGUAGCUGGUCUGAGAGGACGAUCAGCCACACUGGGACUGAGACACGGCCCAGACUCCUACGGGAGGCAGCAGCAGGGAAUUUUGCGCAAUGGACGAAAGUCUGACGCAGCAACGCCGCGU
This 386-nucleotide ribosomal RNA is filed under the name uncultured bacterium. RNAcentral describes it as "bacterial SSU rRNA". It matches the Rfam family "Bacterial small subunit ribosomal RNA", at positions 28 to 402 of the family's 1533-position model. The record is from RNAcentral.